Molecule: unclassified non-coding RNA, 221 nt
Filed under: plant metagenome
Description: partial contains small subunit ribosomal RNA, internal transcribed spacer 1, and 5.8S ribosomal RNA
Source: RNAcentral
UCUCCGUAGGUGAACCUGCGGAGGGAUCAUUACAGAGUUCGUGCCCUCGCGGGUAGAUCUCCCACCCUGUGUUAUUGCUACCUUUGUUGCUUUGGCGGGCCGCCCUCGUCUACCGGCCCCGGCUGGUACGCGCCCGCCAGAGGACCCCAAACCCUGAACGUCAGUGUCGUCUGAGUACUAUACAAUAGUUAAAACUUUCAACAACGGAUCUCUUGGUUCUG